CUUUAGACCUCAAAUCAGGUGGGACUACCCGCUGAACUUAAGCAUAUCAAUAAGCGGAGGAAAAGAAACUAACAAGGAUUCYCCUAGUAACGGCGAGUGAAGAGGGAAAAGCCCAAAUUUGUAAUCUGGCUCUUUUAUAGAGUCCGAGUUGUAAUUUUGAGAACUGUUUUCCGUG
This 175-nucleotide ribosomal RNA is filed under the name Pucciniastrum areolatum. RNAcentral's name for it is "partial 26S ribosomal RNA". It matches the Rfam family "Eukaryotic large subunit ribosomal RNA", at positions 1 to 169 of the family's 3401-position model. Lineage: Eukaryota; Fungi; Basidiomycota; Pucciniomycetes; Pucciniales; Pucciniastraceae. The record is from RNAcentral.